Molecule: RNA transcript, 4954 nt
Organism: Ctenopharyngodon idella (grass carp)
Lineage: Eukaryota; Metazoa; Chordata; Actinopteri; Cypriniformes; Xenocyprididae
Gene: usp15
Gene name: ubiquitin specific peptidase 15
Exons: 15
Source: RefSeq, a predicted model, not a curated record
AAAUCGUUAUUCCACUGUGAUCUGCAGAAUUUUGCAUCAUCGGUUCCAGAAUGCAACUCUUGGGGGGAAAAAAAAUCAGUUUUAAGCUGCUUUGAUAAUAAAAAUAAAGCUUUCCUUUUAACAAUGUCUCUCAACCCCCUAGAAUUAAGAGAAACAAGUAAUAAAGACAUAAAAGAACGAAACAAAGAAAACAGAACAAAUUAGUGUACAGUAUAUAAGCAAGCAAUUAUAUAAGCAAGUAAAGGAUAUCAAUUGUCCAACCAACAUCACUUGCAACAGCAAAAAAAAAAUUGCCUAAAGUCAAGUUUUUGAAAACUCUGUAAAACAGCCUGUGCACUGAAACCAGCAACUUCAAGUAAAAAGCAACUUUAAAAAAACUUGAGAACCAUCACCAGUCUGAGGAAGUAGGACAUUAAAGCCAAACGGGUUCACAUGAAUAAACGUGCGAGCUCCCGUGAAGAAGGCAGUUUUCCUCGCAUCCCGUGCCUGUUUCACCAACAGCCACAGCCUGGAACGCCUCUCAAGAUCACCUUUUGAAAAGUCUUCCAUGAAGAGAAGUCCAUUAGCUUUGAGAAAGGCAGAAGUCUUAGCCCGCUUCCAGAUUUAGUUUCUUAUCGUUCGCGAUGUAAACAGAAUAGUGGUGGGAGUCAGCUGCACUCUUCUUGCCCAGACGAUGUGCGAUGUCAAGCACAGCUUGACAAAUCUUGAUGGCCUGCAGAUGCACAUUUUCAUCUUUAUCUUCUGAAACACCAAACAACCUUAGAUUCCAUCAUCUGCAGUAAGAUUCCAUCUCAUCCAUUCGCUGUUCAAGCAUUUUGACUGGCUUUUCUAAGGCAAGCAUGCGACCCUCCAUCUUACACAUCUUAUGCUCCAUCUCUUUAAUUUCAGCAAAAGCAGCUUCAACUUUCUUACUCAGCUCAUCGCUUCGAUUCUCUCAGUUUUGCCGCUCACCAACUUUUCAAUGCUAUCGGACCUUCUGUUGAUAAGCUGGGACAGCGUGACGAUAACAUCAGCAUCGGAAGAAAGGGUCUUCGUCACUUCUUCUUCGCUGCAGGUGAUUCGCUCGGGUCACCAGUAACUUCGGAAGUUCCUUUUCAUCCAUAAUCGCCUCUUCUAGAUCAUUCCCUUCAGUACAGCUUUGACUGUAUUCGUGACCACUACUAAGUAGCAUGCUGUCGCUAGUGUUGUCUUGAUUCGAAGAUGGGUUUAGAUUUCGGUUUCUUUUCUUCCCACCCAUCCAAAUUGACAUUAAAAAUCACUUUAGAUGGUAAGUUAAGGAGGCAGCAUUAUAGAAUCAAAAAAGUUAGGCUAACAUAUUUAAUUUUUGUGAUGACCAGCUCGACAAACAGCGUCAGUUCAGGUGGCCAUCUUGGUCCCGCCCCUCAACUCAGACAUUUAUAUUCAUCUUCUCUGGGUCAAAUGAUGACAUGGGGCCUGUUCUUCGUACAUCGCUAACUCAGUUAGCUGGAUUUGAUUGAUUACGAUUUGGCAUGAUCUUGGAUUGUUCGGUUCUUCGACGCUCAUCCUGGACUUAGCAACAGGUCCAUAAGCUCAAACCUGCUCGUGAGCAGCUUAUUUCAUGUAAACAGGAUUAGAUUGCUUCUUUUUAAGUGGAAUUGAUACUUAAAAUCUGUCCCAGAUUUGAUGCAGCACAGGAGAUGCAGAUAACUUGACUUUAUUAAAACUUUAAUUAAUGAUGUCACGUAACAAAUCUGCUUCAAAGAUAAAAUUAGAAGAAUUGCGAAUUACAACACUGAAAUAAAAAUAUACGACUGUACAAAUGCUUGUGAAUCUAAAUAAUUGGGAAUCAUGUAAAAAAAAAAAAAAAACAGUGCACAUUUCAUUUAUCUAUUAUAAUGUUUAUGUUGUAAUAUCAUUUUGUUCGCUUGGCUGUUUCAUUAUAAAGGUCCAGAAAUUGGUCAAGUUUUUCGUCAGGUGUCUUUUCUAAUUAUAUGAUGUCAUUACGUUGCCGUCUUGACUCCAGCCAAUCGCUGCACUGCUGAUCGUGGUCUCGAGUAUCGAUACAUCCGCCCUUUUCCAGGAAGUCGAGAACGCGCAGUAAUCUCAGACAACUUAAUCCUGAUAUCUUAAUCCAAUCCACAAAUUCAUUUGAAGAACCAAAUUAGCCACAGAUCAGUUAUCACGAUUAGAAGAUUUAUCUGUCAAAUCAUCUGUAUUUAGCGAGGUACGAAGAACGGACCCCUGUUCUUCAAAUAUUCAACAAACAUGACAAUGAGAUCAAAUCACAAUGUCUGACUGUUAUGAAAAUUAACAUAUUUGUGCUAAAAUGAGUCUGUGUAUCAAAUCCUGUGAGAUUCAGCCACAUGGUGGCGCUAUAAUAAGCAACAUAUUGUAAUAUUGAUGUUCUUUGUCACAGGAUAAGACAUCAGUCGAUCCCUUUUCCUCCUCAUUUCUUCAAUUAUUUCUUCAGUAUGUUUACUGCACUUCAAGAAGACGUGUUUCCUCACAUACACCACUGUUUAAUCCUGUAAGUCCCGUUCUAAGUUUUAAUAACACUAACUACAUGAUGGAAAGCUCUUUAUGCUCACGAGGAUUCAUUUGCCCAGUUCAGUGUUAUGAAGUAUUAUAAAUCUUCUGGGUCAGAGCCGGACGAGACGAGAGGCGUCGUGACGUCACACAGAUGCGGCGGCGGCGUGCGUGAUGACGCCAGCGGCUCUACCCAGCAUGCAAUGCACGAGUGAAGAUGGCGGAAGGCGGCGCGGCGGAUGUGGAGACGCAGAGAGGAGAGAUCGCGACGCUCCUGAAGACGCCGCUGCGCAGAGCAGACACCUGGUAUCUGGUGGACAGUCACUGGUUCAAGCAGUGGAAGAAGUAUGUGGGCUUCGACAGCUGGGACAAGUACCAGAUGGGUGAGCAGAGCGUGUACCCGGGACCGGUGGACAACCGCGGGCUGCUCAGAGAUGGGGACGCCACGGGCAUCAGAGAGCACCUGAUCGACGAGCUGGACUACAUCCUGCUGCCGGCCGACGGCUGGAGCCGCCUGGUGAGCUGGUAUGGCCUGACGGAGGGACAGGAGCCCAUCGCCCGCAAGGUGGUGGAGCAGGGCAUGUUCGUCAAACACUGUAAGGUGGAAGUCUACCUCACCGAGCUCAAGCUGUGUGAAGACGGAAACAUGGACAACAUCAUCACCAGACGCUUCAGCAAAGCAGACACUAUAGACACCAUCGAGCGAGAGAUGCGGAAGCUGUUCAGUAUUCCCGACGAGAAGGAGACGCGACUAUGGAACAAGUACAUGAGCAACACGUUUGAGCCGCUCAACAAGCCGGACAGCACCAUUCAGGACGCCGGGCUCUAUCAGGGACAGGUUCUAGUGAUCGAACAGAAGAAUGAAGACGGCUCGUGGCCUCGUGGCUCUUCGGCGCUCAAGUCAUCUGGUGCUUCUUCUCUCUCUGCUUUACCAAAGAUCUGCCCUUCAUCUCUCACAAACAAUCAUAACAGCAGCUUCAGCGGCCGCAACAUGAAGAACUCCAGCUACGGCCUGCCGUCCUACCCGCCGUACAGCAGCAGCUACGAGUACUCGGAUCAGGGCCGGCGCUCCGAGAAGGCUGGCCUCUGCGGCCUCUCCAACCUGGGAAACACCUGCUUCAUGAACUCGGCCACACAGUGCCUGAGUAAUGUCCCUCCUCUGACCGAGUUCUUCCUGAAGGACAAGUACCAGGAGGAGCUGAACGAGGACAAUCCUCUGGGAAUGAAGGGUGAGAUCGCCAAGGCCUACGCCGAGCUCAUCAAGCAGCUGUGGUCGGGGAAAUACAGCUAUGUCACGCCAAGACCCUUCAAGACUCAGGUGGGGCGAUUCGCGCCUCAGUUCUCGGGCUACCAGCAGCAGGACUCUCACGAGCUGCUGGCCUUCCUGCUCGACGGUCUUCACGAGGACCUGAACCGCAUCCGGAAGAAGCCCUACAUUCAGCUGAAGGACGCUGAAGGCCGACCCGACAAGGUGGUUGCAGAAGAAGCCUGGGAGAACCACAUCAAGAGGAACGACUCCAUCAUCGUGGACAUCUUCCACGGCCUCUUCAAGUCCACGCUGGUCUGUCCCGUGUGCGCCAAGAUCUCGGUGACCUUCGACCCCUUCUGCUACCUGACGCUUCCUCUGCCCAUGAAGAAGGAGCGGACGCUGGAGGUGUAUCUGGUGUGGCUGGACCCUCUGACCAAACCCACGCAGUACAAACUGACGGUGCCUAAAGUGGGCUGCAUCUCGGACCUGUGCGCGUCACUCUCGGCUCUGUCGGACGUCCCGGCUCAGAAGGUAACCGUCGUCGGCAUGAAGAAGGUAUUUCAUCUUCUUCACCUCAUUCACUGUGUUUCCUCUGCCCGUCCAGAUGAUCGUGACGGACAUAUACAACCACAGGUUUCACCGGAUAUUUGCCGCCAACGAGAACCUGAGCAGCAUCAUGGAUCGGGACGACAUCUAUGUGUUUCAGCUGGCCGUCAGCCGGCAGGAGGACACGGAUCACGUGGUGAUUCCUGUUCAUCUGCGGGAGAAAUACAAGCAGUCGGGCUUCAACCACACCAGCACGCCGCUGUUCGGCCAGCCCUUCCUGCUCAGCGUCCCGCGCACCAUCAGCGAGGACAAGCUCUACAACCUGCUCCUGCAGCGCCUCUGUCGUUUCGUUCGGCCGGCCGCUGAGGACGAGGAGUCGGAGGAGACGUUCUCGCCCAAACAUCACUCCAUCAACGGCAACGCCACCAAUGGUGAGAUGGAGACGGACGAGCCGGACGACGAGUCCAGCCAGGACCAGGAGUUGCCCUCGGAGAACGACAACAGCCAGUCGGAGGACUCGGUGGGCGGCGGGGACAACGAGCUGGAGAACGGCGUCCUGCCGGAGAACUGCAGCAAAGGCCCGACGCUCAACGGCCAGAAGAAGCGCCUCUUCACAUUCCAGUUCAACAACAUGGGAAAGACCGACGCCAACUUCAUCAAGGGAGAGGCGCG